GCUCCCACGAUGAAACCGAUCGCAAUCGGUGCAAUCGUCCCGAGGUUGCCCCUCUUGGGGUCCACGGCGGUGGCGUACACGGUGUAGACUAGGCCGAAGGUCAUGACGAUCUCGAGGACGAGCGCCUCCCAGACGCUGACGCCGGUGAGGCCGAAGGUGCCGGUGGAGAGGCCGCCGGUGGAGAAGCGAAGGAGGAAGCAGGCAAUAGUGGAGCCGAGGAGCUGAGCGAACCAGUAGAGAAUCCCUCUGAGAAGAGUGAUGUUGCCGCCGACGAAGGCGCCGAAGGUCACAGCCGGGUUGACAUGCCCGCCCGAGAUGUUGGCGGCCACCGACACCGCCACGAACAGACCGAAGGCGUGCGCCAGCGACGCUGCCACCAGGCCCG
Molecule: long non-coding RNA, 385 nt
Filed under: Elaeis guineensis (African oil palm)
Lineage: Eukaryota; Viridiplantae; Streptophyta; Magnoliopsida; Arecales; Arecaceae
Description: long non-coding RNA (EGUI_LNC076144)
Source: RNAcentral